UUUUUCCUUGCUAAUUGAUUAUGAAGACUCAUCUGAAAUAUUUAUAAAUAUUGAAGACAAUUUGCUUAAUUUAACAGACAUUCAAAAUAUACAAUUAUUUUGUCAUAUUGUGAAAAUAAGAAUAAUUCUUGAUAUUAUUUUGAAAGAAAAUUUACCCAAUAAGCCCAAUAAAUUAUAUACAUUUUCAAUACCUGGCCAAAUUGAUCAAACAUUAAUAAAGAAUUUACAUGAUGCAAUAAUCCAUAAAUACAAAACUCAAUUAGAAAGCAGAAUUGCGUGGCUUGAAAUAUUUGUCAAAUUGUUGAACAACUCUAAUGUAAAACUUUAUUGUCCCAAUGAAAAGUUUUUUACAGUUAAAUAUACCUUUCAAAACCC
This is a long non-coding RNA of Gordionus sp. m RMFG-2023, 375 nucleotides long. RefSeq lists it as uncharacterized. Lineage: Eukaryota; Metazoa; Nematomorpha; Gordioida; Chordodea; Parachordodidae. The transcript is spliced from 4 exons. The record is from RefSeq and is a predicted model, not a curated record.